RNAcentral lists this non-coding RNA (23 nucleotides) under Cricetulus griseus (Chinese hamster). Lineage: Eukaryota; Metazoa; Chordata; Mammalia; Rodentia; Cricetidae. The record is from RNAcentral.
UUGUCAGGUAAUUCGAAUGUGGG